This is a long non-coding RNA of Paramisgurnus dabryanus, 657 nucleotides long. RefSeq lists it as uncharacterized. The record is from RefSeq and is a predicted model, not a curated record. NCBI's taxonomy places the organism in Eukaryota, Metazoa, Chordata, Actinopteri, Cypriniformes, Cobitidae.
GUAUUUCCUCUUCCUCUUGAUCUUCUUGUGUUUACUGGCAGCUGUUAAACACAUUGACAUCAACAACUGUGCUGGAGUUUGGAGCAGCGAUAUGAAAAUAAUUUAUGUGUAAAUGUGCACAACUAAACUGUUGCAAGUGUUUCACGUUGGCUUUAAUAAGAAAAAGGAAGGAAGUGAGAUCAGCAGCUUUUUAUAGCUAUCAACUUAUUAAUCUUAAACAUCACUGCUGCAACUUAAAGUCAGACAACUCCACACCAGUAUAUACUUGAAAUGAUGAACUCCAGACUCUCAUCUCUGAUCCUGCUGUUACACAUUCAAGUGUCUCUAACAUUGAACAGCUUUACUGUGAUCUGUGGUGAACAGAAUAUUUGUGCUGUGAGAGGGGCACAGUUGAAAGUGAAGUGCUUUUACUCAAACAUCAACAUCAAAACUGGGUUCUGGUUCAGCCCGAAACAGAGAACAAACUGGAGAAACAAAGAUGAACCUGAAGAUUUGACUUUAGAUUCAGAUUACUCAGGACGAGUGAAUCAGGAGAUUACAAACCGCAAAUCAGAGCUCUUAAUAGAUGAUGUGAGAGAGAGAGACAGUGGAGAAUAUCAGCUCAUGAUCAUUAUGAAGGAUGGAGUUAAACAUCUCAGCUCAGUCACAGUCAAUCUA